Molecule: long non-coding RNA, 3577 nt
Organism: Gallus gallus (chicken)
Lineage: Eukaryota; Metazoa; Chordata; Aves; Galliformes; Phasianidae
Exons: 4
Source: RefSeq, a predicted model, not a curated record
AUCUGAGUCUCGGUGUGCUUCCUUGAGGGUGUGGGGGUGAGUCCUUCUGUAUUGGAGGGCUGUGAUCUACCCCUUUGCUGGGGGUUCAUAGCUGCAUUUUGGGGCUGGCAGCCAUCUGUACCUGGAAACUGCUUCUUUGGGGGAGCGAGUGAGUAUUGGUCCUUGGAAUGGGGUAAGUGGUUCUUUCUGAAUUUCAGGGCUCUGAGCUCCUCUUUUGGGGGGAUCUUGACCCCAUGUAAGAAGUGGUAGCUUUCAGGCCUGUAUCUGAACUUGGAGACUGCUUCCUUCGAGGUGUGGGGGGAAAGCCCUUAAAUGGGGUGAGGGAUUCCUGCUUUAUUGUAGAGCUGUGAGCCAUGUCUUUCCGGGGAGAUCCUGAGCUGGAUUAGAGCAGCUGUAUCUGCUGUGUGUGUCCCUACGGUGCCUUCAGUCUUGUCCUAAGGGAAAUGAAGGGGUUGUCUCCUGUUCUCUGAGCAGCUGAUGGAUGGACUGACAUCCAUUCCUUCCUUUCACAGUUCCCUUGCUUCUGGAUUGCUUCAAUGAGCCCUAACGAUGCUGAUUGGCUGACUGAGCGCUGCGGUUCUGGACACGGUGACAGUUAAUACCCUAUUCCGUUCAGGGGUUCUGCAUUCUGCAGGUCCUGUUUGCAGCCCUUUUCAAGCCCAUUUCUUUCUGGUUGAGCCGCUGUUUCCUCUUUCAUGGUUUUCACCUCAUGAUCUCCAACCUCAGCUCCAAAUGUGGUUUGUCUUCUCCCCCAUCAUCCCAUCUUAUGGCUGUAAUUCACAGUGGCAUGUGUUAAUUACACCCACGCAGAGUUGUUUAAGGGCAUGCUGGGCAUCAUUAUCAUGUUUUAAAUUAUGUCCUCUCUUCUGGUCUCAGUUUGCAGCUCAGUGGGUUUUAAGGAUUGUUGGGACUCCUCUAAUCGGUGGUGUGAGGCCUGUGGAGCAGCUAAUGGAACAUCACGACUAUGCUGACUUCCCCAGGGUGGCAGCAGAGAGCUGCAGCGCUCCCGAGUGCUGUAAGGACUGCACGGAGAGACGUGCGGGUCUUCACGGGAACAGCCAGGAACCGAAAGCUGCAUUUCCCGGGAUGCCCUGGAGCUCCACUUUGCUGACUGGUAAUUGUCUGCCCAGCAGGUGGCAGCAGAGAGCUGCAGCGCUCCCGAGUGCUGUAAGGACUGCACGGAGAGAUGUGCGGGUCUUCACGGGAACAGCCAGGAACCGAAAGCUGCAUUUCCCGGGAUGCCCUGGAGCUCCACUUUGCUGACUGGUAAUUGUCUGCCAGCAGGCAGGUCUUCAAUGAAGAUAUUGGACAGAACAGGCCUGAAGAGCACUCAGGAUGGCAUACCAGCUGCAUUUAACACGAUGGAGCAGCACUCAUUAGGCCAGGCGGUUCAGCUAGUUCUUCAUCUAGCAAGCAGCGUACCCGUCCAAGUAGCCGGCUGCAAUCUUUCAGAGAAUUUCGAGGGAUAGCACAUCAAAGGCUUUGCCUCACUCAGGGGGUUGGGUCACCUUCGCUUUGAGAUUGCUAGCGUGGCUGACCCUAAUCCCGUAACUGACAUCCCGUAGCUGGACAGGGACCAUUCGCACUCCAUCCAGGCUGUUUGAGACUCACGGCCAUGCUGAGAGUCACACUGAUUUCAGCGCGUGCAGUCAUUUUGCAUCAACCCAAUUGGCUUUAUCUUUACAAAUAAUUUAUCUCAACCAAAUUGGCUUUAGCUUUGCAGUUAAUGCAUUGCAAAUAAGUUGGCUUUAGCUUUGCCUUGCUUACGGGGUUGGGUUAGCUUUGCUUUGUUUGUUUGUACCGCAGGGCUAACCCAACCCCGUAACCAACGCCCGAGGCCUUUGGAGCCCAUUUGCGCUCCUUCCCGGCCAGUCUGAGACUCGCGCCCCUUUGCGGCCAUUCUGAGAGUUGUGCCGAUUUUGGCAGGUGCAGUCAAUUGAUCUUGCCCAAAUUGGCUUUAGCUUUGCAAUCAAUUGAUCUCAGCCAAAUUGGCUUUAGCUUUGCCUUGCUUACGGGGUUGGGUUAGCUUUGCUAUGUUUGUUUGUACCGCAGGGCUAACCCAACCCCGUAACCAAUGCCCAAGGCCAGCAGAGGCCAUUUGUGCUCCUUCCCGGCCAGUCUGAGACUCGCGCCCCUUUGUGGCCAUUCUGAGAGUUGUGCUGAUUUUGGCAUGUGCAGUCAAUUGAUCUUACCCAAAAUUGGCUUUAGCUUUGCAAUCAAUUGAUCUCAGCCAAAUUGGCUUUAGCUUUGCCUUGCUUAUGGGGUUGGGUUAGCUUUGCUUUGUUUGUUUGUACCGCAGGGCUAACCCAACCCCGUAACCAACGCCUGAGGCCUUUGGAGCCCAUUUGCGCUCCUUCCCGGCCAGUCUGAGACUCGCGCCCCUUUGCGGCCAUUCUGAGAGUUGUGCCGAUUUUGGCAGGUGCAGUCAAUUGAUCUUGCCCAAAUUGGCUUUAGCUUUGCAAUCAAUUGAUCUUGCCCAAAUUGGCUUUAGCUUUGCAAUCAACUGAUCUUGCCCAAAUUGGCUUUAGCUUUGCAAUCAAUUGAUCUCAGCCAAAUUGGCUUUAGCUUUGCCUUGCUUACGGGGUUGGGUUAGCUUUGCUUUGUUUGUUUGUACCGCAGGGCUAACCCAACCCCGUAACCAACGCCCGAGGCCUUUGGAGCCCAUUUGCGCUCCUUCCCGGCCAGUCUGAGACUCGCGCCCCUUUGUGGCCAUUCUGAGAGUUGUGCUGAUUUUGGCAUGUGCAGUCAAUUGAUCUUACCCAAAAUUGGCUUUAGCUUUGCAAUCAAUUGAUCUCAGCCAAAUUGGCUUUAGCUUGGCCUUGCUUACGGGGUUGGGUUAGCUUUGCUUUGUUUGUUUGUACCGCAGGGCUAACCCAACCCCGUAACCAACAGAGCCCAUUUGCGCUCCUUCCCGGCCUGUCUGAGGCUUGCAUUUACUUCAGGUGGGCUGAGAUGUGCUCUGCUCUUGAGGUGGGUUGGAGUACACAAUAUUAGUGUAAAUGUAAUGUUAUUUAUUGGAUAUGGAGGCUUUGUGACCUUUGUCUUGUGAAUCGGACAUAUGUGUUAUAUGUAAACCAUGCCUUAAAAUGUAUGGAGUGCGCGGGUGCUGCGCCUGUAAACAGUGUCUUGCAAUUGUAUGGAGUACGCGGGUGCUGCGCCUGUAAACAGUGUCUUGCAAUUGUGUAAACGGUGUCUUGCAAUUGUAUGGAGUACGCGGGUGCUGCUGCCUGUAAACGGUGUCUUGCAAUUGUAUGGAAUCAGUGUAUUCAUGUUUUGUUUGUCAACAUGUAGGCAUUGCUGUAGUGUGCAUACAAUUGUAUGAGUCAUGUCUUGAGGAAACAGUGCUGUAAUGAACAAAUACUUGUGCAAUCUAAUUCAGUGGUGUGCCUUGAUUCAACAUUACCAGGACACAGAUCCCACUUGAAGCUAAGUGCAACAGGUAGGUGUGAAGGUAAGGUAGACUGUGAGACAUUGGGUUAGACUUAGGGUUAGGUGUUAGACUUAGACUUAGACUUAGACUUAGACUUUUAGGGUUAGACUUAGACUUAGACUUUUAGGGUUAGACUUAGACUUAGAC